GAAAAGGCCGCCAUUUGAUGUGUUUUCUAACAUCGUCGAUAUUCAAUACACGUUAGUAUAACCUAUUGGUACAUAAAACUUCAUUAUAGAACAAGACAAGACCACAAUAGAUCUGAGAAGGUCGCAGUGGGUCAGGCCGAGAUCCACCUCUAGAAAUCUAAUCUAGAACAAGACAAAGACCUUACUUGCAAACUACCAUACAUAUCUUUUAAAAAGGAUGCUAAGUUAAGAAGUUUAGAUAAAUCUACAAUAUAUUAUCAUCAGACCAAAGGAAGGAUAAUUAUUUAAAAGAAUAAGUUAUGUUAUGAUACAUAUAUAGAUUUGGA
RNAcentral lists this long non-coding RNA (326 nucleotides) under Sitophilus oryzae (rice weevil). RNAcentral describes it as "uncharacterized LOC115874186, transcript variant X1". The record is from RNAcentral. Lineage: Eukaryota; Metazoa; Arthropoda; Insecta; Coleoptera; Curculionidae.